This 577-nucleotide long non-coding RNA is filed under the name Mustela putorius furo (domestic ferret). RNAcentral's name for it is "lncRNA (ENSMPUG00000026691.1)". The record is from RNAcentral. Lineage: Eukaryota; Metazoa; Chordata; Mammalia; Carnivora; Mustelidae.
AUGUCCAGGGCUCAAGCGGCCAUCCCCGAUUUGCGGCAUCAGCACCCGGCCCAGCCGCGGUUUAGAGACCGGGUUCACAAUGAUCAAUGGAGCUAUGGAAACAGCAGACAUCGCGCCGGAGCCUGCUGGCCUCCCAUCUGGAGCCUCACAGGCACUGAAGAGUUUCCAGAGCCCGUGGUGCUGCAAGUGGAAAUGUCAGCGUGGGAUAAUUACAUUAGCCCGGAUGCCCUCGUUUCUGACUACCCUUUAUCCACAAUCGAUUACUGAAGAAGACAAAGGGCGUGAAUAAUCAGCCAAGCAGAUGGAGGGUCAGGUGGCCAGGCCAGAAGAGAAAGUGGGUAAGAGGGAAGAAAGGCCUCUGGCCCAGAGAGGGUCUGUGCGGGGGUGGGGGUGGGGUGGGGGGGGUGGAAGGGACUGGGACGAAACAGGCUGCAGGGAAAGGUGGAGGGCUCCUACCUGGCCUCAGCAGGCUAGGUGUAUACAGAGGCACCAAAUAAUCGCUGGACUUGUCCUUGAACGUGUGCUGACAGCCUUGGGAAGCUCUCUCUAGGAAAUGAGGAAGGAGGUAGUAAGAAAG